Molecule: long non-coding RNA, 330 nt
Filed under: Mytilus galloprovincialis (Mediterranean mussel)
Lineage: Eukaryota; Metazoa; Mollusca; Bivalvia; Mytilida; Mytilidae
Source: RNAcentral
CUUAGUCAUGGUCUAUUGACUUUGAAAAUUUUUCUGAGUUAUCAUGUAUUAGUUUGUGAUUAGGUCAAUUCAAGGGGAACCAUUAGUGGUAGGCCAAUGUUAAUUGGUAUUCAGUUGUAUAAGCAUUGGCACAUCUCAUUUCCAUGGAGAAUAUUUAGCCUAACCCCUCAGUCACAGUCUAAUAACUUUGAAACUUAUCUUAGUUUACAUUUAUUAGUGUGUGGUUAGAUCAAUUUAAGAUCAACUGCUAAUGUUAAGCCAAUGAUAUUUGGUAUGCAAAUUUAUUAGUAUUUGCAAGUAUCUUUUCCAUGGAGAUUAUAUAGCCCCACC